GAUUUUUAUAAGUGCAUGAGAUAGAAAAAUGAGUUCGGAUAAGGCUUGCAUUGGAUCAAGCAAUUAUAGUGUUGACGCAUAUACGAAAAGCUUCUUCAAGAGCCUGGCUCAUAUGUUGGUGAAGUUUUCAAAAUUAUCGGCAAGAACAAAGUGUUGGUCAAGAAUAUGCAAAAGCAGCAAAACUUGCAAAUCCGACAAUGGUGAUGAUGGGAAUGUGAUUUUGUGUUUUCUGGAUCUGCGAUGAUGACUCGCCGGAGCUGUUUUGACGGUGGUGAAGUGGUGUUGCAGCUGUUGAGUUUCACUUCUCAUUUAAAAGUUAUGAGUUUUUUAUAUUUGGAUUAUAGUGUGUUGAGUUUAAUAAUAUAGUGCUAUGAAGUUGAAGAUACUGUCAAAUUUGUUGCAGAAAAAUAGUUAAUAACCUUAUAGAAUAUUGU
This is a long non-coding RNA of Vicia villosa (hairy vetch), 434 nucleotides long. RefSeq lists it as uncharacterized. The record is from RefSeq and is a predicted model, not a curated record. The transcript is spliced from 3 exons. NCBI's taxonomy places the organism in Eukaryota, Viridiplantae, Streptophyta, Magnoliopsida, Fabales, Fabaceae.